Molecule: non-coding RNA, 104 nt
Organism: Acanthosepion pharaonis
Lineage: Eukaryota; Metazoa; Mollusca; Cephalopoda; Sepiida; Sepiidae
Source: the annotation of a GenBank genome assembly
UUACGGCCAUAUCACGAUGAAACACCGGUUCCCAUAUGAUCAUCGAAGUUAAGCAACUUGUCAGUACCAGAUGGGUGACCGUUUGGGAAUACUAAUUACUGUAA